CACGCCGUAAACGAUGAUUACUAGGUGUCGGGAAGCAAAGCUUUUCGGUGCCGCAGCCAACGCAAUAAGUAAUCCACCUGGGGAGUACGUUCGCAAGAAUGAAACUCAAAGGAAUUGACG
This 120-nucleotide ribosomal RNA is filed under the name uncultured bacterium. RNAcentral's name for it is "partial 16S ribosomal RNA". It matches the Rfam family "Bacterial small subunit ribosomal RNA", at positions 796 to 915 of the family's 1533-position model. The record is from RNAcentral.